RNAcentral lists this long non-coding RNA (4690 nucleotides) under Strigops habroptila (Kakapo). RNAcentral's name for it is "lncRNA (ENSSHBG00005005856.1)". The record is from RNAcentral. Lineage: Eukaryota; Metazoa; Chordata; Aves; Psittaciformes; Psittacidae.
GGCACAAACUGAAGGGAAUCUGGUGUUGCAAAUGGACUAAGACAAGUUUUAUUUCUUAAAAGGCCUGAUACACAUAAUCCAAAAAUCAAGAAAAAAAAAGUUGAAGUGUUUUCAUAGAAAAGAAUGGACAUAAACCUAAAUAUUUAUGAUAGAUCUGUAGAAGGGUAUUUUGCUAUGUAUACAUGCACACUCUAAAAAUGAACUACGGUAGAAGUUAAUUUUUAUUUAACUUGAAUACAAUUUUCAGUAUAAAAUUAUCAUUUCUACAAAUAGCUAAUUAUUAAUGAAAAGGUUAUAGGAAAAUAUUAAAAUACUUGAAAUGGCCAGUAUGGACUUUUACAUAAAAUGAAACUUUUGUACUACAUUCAACCAAUUUCUUACUGGUUUCUUAAUCCACAUAACUGGAUCACUUUUUAGAGAGUGUAGGUAUAUAUAGAUAUAUAUUAUUGUUAUUAUUAUUUUGGUAAUGGAUAGCUUGACUGCCUUGAAUUUAUAUUUAUAUUGAGCAUAGCAUGAAAAAUAGUAUGCCUUUUUGUUCAAUUACAUGGUUUUAUAUUGAUUUGAGGACUUAUUUUAUGAACAUAUGUGGCAUGCUAUAAAGCAUUGCAAACGUAUUUCUUAGAGCAUAAACAGAUAUACAUAUGUACGGCUAACAAAAAUGAAGAUUAGAAAAAGAGAUAGUUUUACAACAAAUAUGCAAUGCAGAUGGCAUUUUGGAGAUGUUUUGUAGAGGUACUUCAUACUGUAGGUUAGAAGUGCACCAGUAUCAGCCCAUAGCAUUAUUUAGUAAAUCCAACUCAGUUGUUGCUGAAAAUAUAGAUUAAUUGACAGUUUAAGUAACGUCGCAUAUUUACUACACAUCAGCUCAUUUGGUGAAUUUGGAAUACUAUGCCUGUUUGUCAUAUAUAUUAAAAUGUGUGUGUGUGUGUUUGUAUACUUGUAAACACACACAAACACACACAUACACGUACAUACAUAUUUUAAUCCACGGAGAAGUUUUUAUUGUCAACAAACUACUCUAACUUAUGCUACAAACAGAACAAAAUGAUUCAUGUUACUGUUCCAAUUUUGUCCCUUGCAUAGUUGGUGGAAAAUACUAACAGCACUAGUUAUUCUGUAUUUGAUUUUCCUCUACAAUGGGAGAACUUAUGUUACAUUAUCUUUAAGUCAAAACAGCAUCUCAUCUGUUUUUUUAUUGACUUGAAAAUUUCACUUCAAUUUUGAAAUAACUUUCAUGGCAGCUUUAACUUUUUGUGCAACUGUUUCCUUGACAGUAAUGAAGUGCUGAGCAUGUCAACUGUUGUUCUUUGAUAAGGUAACAAAAAUGUUUGUAUUUGGAGAAUUUAACUUUAAUUAUGCAGGAAGGUAAGUGUAAUAAGUCUAGUGCUUGGUAUAUGUACAUCAUAGAUACAUGAAUACAUGAUAAGUUGAUUGAUCUAUUUUCUUUUACUUAAAAGUGCAUAUAUGUUAUAUACAGAGAAAGAGAGAAAAAAUAAUACUAUAUUGGCAUGUUUAUGUCAUGCAAAGAAAGAUUGUGUCAGCAUUUCUAUUACAUAAUCUUAUUUUCAGUAGGCUAUAACAGAGUCAUAAAGGUUUGCUUUAAGUAAAAGAUGUAGGAGCAACUGUUUUCACUGUAAUUCCCAAAUACAUACUGGCUAGUUUCAAAUAACUUCAGAGUAAAUUAGUGAUGUUGUCUGAUCUAGUUUUGAACUCAAAUGAGUAAAAGUUCUACGACAAUGUUAUUUUUAGAACAGUUGUUUUUCUACCAGGGCCUAUAAUUAUGAGAGUUAAGAAAAAACAAAUUGAAAUUAUUUUCAGUUCUGCAAUCUGGGUUCCUGCUCAUGUGCCGUAACCUUUUUCGUAAAGUUUUUAAUAAACAUUUCCAUAUUGCUAUUGUCAUGAUCUCAACUGUGGAACAAUACAAAACUGAAUAUGUAUUGCGUUAAUCAGUUACAGUCUAUCAAGCUGACUAUACAGGGUCGUGUAUUUUCAGAGUACUAUAUGGUCUGUAUGAUGCAGGAGGCCAAAGUAGAUGAUGGCAGUGUUUCCUCUGGCCUUUUAAUGUAAUGAAAAGGUUAUUGACUAGACAAAAAUUAAUUUUUAUAAAAAAAAAAAAAAAUUAAAAACUAUGUGACUGUAUAUUUGCUGGAUAGGCUGGGAUAGAGAGACUCAAAUGGCUCCAAAGGAGCCCUUUCAAGUCUCCUGAAUAAAUGUAAUACAUAUUUUAUAUAUUCCUAUGAACUUUUGUUCUUUUUCUUCUUUCAAGGUGGGGCAAAGGGAUGGGAUAAUUAAAGAAAGAAAAUGUUUAAGGCUAAUUUUGUGAAUGAAAAUUACAGAAGCUAAUAGAUUCAAACAUAAGGGACAGACUUAAACUUUUUCUUAGAGGUGUACUUCACCUACCCAGUUGCUUGGUCAAGACUUCUGCACCGUUAGCACUGUGGGCUAAGAACAGAGUGUAAGGCUUAAUUAUUGAACUUUCAACUCUUUUUGGGGUCUUACUUCACAAUCUUAGUGUCAGUUAAAUGUAGCUUUUGGUACCAAAUUAUAUAGAAUAAAAUUCUAGCUUGUUGGUUAGAAAAAAGUGCAUAGAAUAGAAAGUAGGUCUGCCUAUAAACAAUGGAAGAAUUACAUUCCUAUUCUAGUUUUUUUUUUCAUUUGAACCAUAGCUAAGGCAAACCUUAAAAAAGACACAUAGCAAACUGAGGAGUGAAUGUUCCAGGCACUGCAUUUUCAAGAAGGUAGAAAUGCAAGCUACCGCACCAUUAGCAGCCUAAAUUUGAGAUAGCACAAGAUCACUGGGCUGAGGAGCAAGGAUAUGACUUCAUGGUCUUGCUCUAUCCUGGCUCCCUUAUCUUCUCACAACACGGCCUAAAUCGUCUUACCAGUUACAUAGGUGAAGCCGUGCACCGUGGCAGUAGGAGAUGUGAAGCAGCCGUUACAGAGCAAUAGCUCUCUUGUCACCUCUUGUUGUUGUCAAGAUUGUCUUUGGACAGCUCUAUUUCCAGAAGUAUAAAUAGGUGACUGCAGCCCUAUGAGCCAUAAGGAAAAUUAUUAUUACCAGUAGAGGGAACAAAUGUCACUGGCCACUUAGGUGUUCACCUAUGCUGUAAAUCAAACAAUACUGUGUGGGAACUAAGGAACAGAUAACCUGUAAUUGAAUACGAUGGUAAGCCGCAACUGAUUCACCAGCACUGCAAUGUUAGGCGUACUUCCUUAGCUUACACUACACAGACUGCAGAUAAACAGUGGUUCACAUAGGACAAGACCAUUUAAACAUAUGUCAGUUACAAAAUCAGGUGUAAAUGAACCAUAUACUCAUAAAAUUGAUGUUUGAUUUAUGCAUGUAAAUCAAUGAAUUAUCUGUCACUGGUCUCAUGAAAAAUGGAAUGUGUGAGUCAAAUCUGUCCAACCCAUUCUUGUGAUUUGCUAUCUGAGAUGACAGAGGCUGAUAGAAAAAGACAUUGUCAUCAGUGCCAUCAAUGCUGAAAAUGUCUGGUAAGCAUCAAAAGCAUACAAUAACUUGCUGCAGACUGGUUCCAUUUGAUGCUUGAUCUAAUGUUAGGCAACAUAAAUUCUGUAUGAUGUGACAUUAUUUGAUGUGUGUAUGUAACUAGGAAAGCCCUAAUCAGGAGGUCAUAUUUUGAAGGGUCAUCAGUAUGUGACCACUGCAAGCAUCUGUUCCUAAAAUCAAAAUGUAUUUCUAAGUAGUAUGUAGGCAGCAUUAAACACAUGCAUCUUAAACAGGUCUUGUUUCCCAGUGCACAUAAGGUUUAGCAUAUCAUCUACAAAUUAUAGUCAGUUUAUUAACGUUUGCAGUUGCAGCUGCCCAUUAUGUCUUUGAGAUAUGGCAUUCUGUGAGGUGUACAUAAAGUACAUUUGCCCUAUAUAAACAGCCUUAAGUACUGCCCACAGUAUAGAUGAAAUAAAUUUUAGAGGCAGAGAAGACGUAAAUGAAGAAAUGCUGAUGUAAACUAGCAUGCUAAAGACAAUUUUCUACACUUGGAUAUGCAUGCAGCACAGUGCUAUGUGCUGUCAUAGUAAAACUACAUAAACAAUGGUCAUUACACUUUCCAGCCAUUUAUGAUGGCACAAAGCUUUCCAGUCCCACAGCUCAGUUUCUUCUGCUUCUGUAGAAUGACAUUGUUCACAGAUGAUAGUUAUAACCACCAUGUAAGCCAAAGCUUUCUAUUUAGUUAAUAGUAAUUUCUACCCUAUGAAAUUGCAUCACAUGCUUUUUAUAACUACAACCUUAAUCUCCUUGGCGAGCUAUAGGCAUAUCUUAAUUCAUAGCCUUUCACGCCCAUGUUGUUGCAGUAAAAUAUAUACUGAACAUUCUCCCCAUCUUGCCAUCUGGUACUAACACAUGGAAUAAUCACUUUCAUUGUGUGCAUACAUGUGUCCUGGUUCAUCCCUUUGCCCAUCCAUCAUUUGGGGAACUGGCUUUCUGGGAAGCUGGGAUAAAAUAACUUCCUAAAGGACCUGGUUAGCCUUUAACAAUUUGAAGAGUUUUCAGUGAAGUAUUAUAUUACUUACAGGCAACAGAACAGUGUAGCUCCACCAGAUGGGCUCACCACUUGCAAAAAGUAGUGUGUUAAAUCAGAAAAUGAUGUUUCUAAUCCAUAUUUCCAUCCUGAUGUGUUGGCACAGUUUAACACCCAGUCUACACACAUAUCCGUAGCUUACAUGGCUG